RNAcentral lists this ribosomal RNA (395 nucleotides) under uncultured bacterium. RNAcentral describes it as "bacterial SSU rRNA". It matches the Rfam family "Bacterial small subunit ribosomal RNA", at positions 1 to 401 of the family's 1533-position model. The record is from RNAcentral.
GAUUAGAGUUUGAUCCUGGCUCAGAUUGAACGCUGGCGGCAGGCCUAACACAUGCAAGUCGAGCGGAUGACAGGAGCUUGCUCCUGAAUUCAGCGGCGGACGGGUGAGUAAUGCCUAGGAAUCUGCCUGGUAGUGGGGGACAACGUUUCGAAAGGAACGCUAAUACCGCAUACGUCCUACGGGAGAAAGCAGGGGACCUUCGGGCCUUGCGCUAUCAGAUGAGCCUAGGUCGGAUUAGCUAGUUGGUGAGGUAAUGGCUCACCAAGGCGACGAUCCGUAACUGGUCUGAGAGGAUGAUCAGUCACACUGGAACUGAGACACGGUCCAGACUCCUACGGGAGGCAGCAGUGGGGAAUAUUGGACAAUGGGCGAAAGCCUGAUCCAGCCAUGCCGCG